AUUGAACGCUGGCGGCAGGCCUAACACAUGCAAGUCGAGCGGAUGAAGGGAGCUUGCUCCUGGAUUCAGCGGCGGACGGGUGAGUAAUGCCUAGGAAUCUGCCUGGUCGUGGGGGCUAACGUCCGGAAACGGGCGCUAAUACCGCAUACGUCCUGAGGGAGAAAGUGGGGGAUCUUCGGACCUCACGCUAUCAGAUGAGCCUAGGUCGGAUUAGCUAGUUGGUGGGGUAAAGGCGUACCAAGGCGACGAUCCGUAACUGGUCUGAGAGGAUGAUCAGUCACACUGGAACUGAGACACGGUCCAGACUCCUACGGGAGGCAGCAGUGGGGAAUAUUGGACAAUGGGCGAAAGCCUGAUCCAGCAAUGCCGCGUGUGUGAAGAAGGUCUUCGGAUUGUAAAGCACUGUAAGUUGGGAGGAAGGGCAGUAAGUUAAUACCUUGCUGUUUUGACGGUACCAACAGAAUAAGCACCGGCUAACUUCGUG
This 484-nucleotide ribosomal RNA is filed under the name uncultured bacterium. RNAcentral describes it as "partial 16S ribosomal RNA". It matches the Rfam family "Bacterial small subunit ribosomal RNA", at positions 30 to 507 of the family's 1533-position model. The record is from RNAcentral.